GGGAGCCCGGUGCGGGAAAACUGCACGCCGGGUUCUGCUUGGGGCUGGCAGUUCAAGGUUUAGCCAAGGCUGCCUUCUACCAACCAUAAA
This 90-nucleotide non-coding RNA is filed under the name Serpentinicella alkaliphila. The record is from RNAcentral. Lineage: Bacteria; Bacillati; Bacillota; Clostridia; Peptostreptococcales; Natronincolaceae.